UUCCAGAGGGCCUCACUGAGGCCAAAAGGUCGGAAUCAGUGGUCAAAGGUUAUGAAGUGAGCAGCUUUGCUCUGCCAGGCAUUCCUGCCAUGAUGUGCCACCACCGGCCCAAAGCUGUGAGCCCAACCAAUCAUGGACUGGAGCCUCUGAAACCAUGAGCCUUUUCUCUUUGUAGGAGUGGAUCGCCCAGGUCACAUGACAGCCCUAUGUGUAACUACCUCAAGCAGUCCCACCAUUUUGCAUUUCCAUCAGCAGAGUGUGAUGGUUCCAGUUCUACCACAUCCUCACCAAAAUUUAUUAGUGGAGUGGCUCAAGGUGAAGGCUCUGAGUUCAAGCCCCAGUAUUGCAAAAUAAAAAAAUAAUAAAAUCACCA
Molecule: long non-coding RNA, 373 nt
Organism: Castor canadensis (American beaver)
Lineage: Eukaryota; Metazoa; Chordata; Mammalia; Rodentia; Castoridae
Source: RefSeq, a predicted model, not a curated record